RNAcentral lists this ribosomal RNA (460 nucleotides) under uncultured bacterium. Its description in RNAcentral is "partial 16S ribosomal RNA". It matches the Rfam family "Bacterial small subunit ribosomal RNA", at positions 338 to 795 of the family's 1533-position model. The record is from RNAcentral.
CCUACGGGAGGCAGCAGUGAGGAAUAUUGGUCAAUGGGCGCGAGCCUGAACCAGCCAAGUAGCGUGAAGGAUGACUGCCCUACGGGUUGAAAGCUUCUUUGAUAAAGGAAUAAAGAGAGGCACGUGUGCAUUUUUGUAUGGACUUUAUGAAUAAGGAACGGCUAACUCCGUGCCAGCAGCGGCGGUAAGACGGAGGAUCGGAGGGUUAUACGGAUGGAUUGGGUUUAAAGGGAGCGUAGAGGGGUUGUUAAGUCAGUUGUGAAAGUUUGGGGCUCAACCGUUAAAUUGCUAUUGAUACUGGCAGUCUUGAGUACAGUUGAGGUAGGCGGGAUUUGUGGUGUAGCGGUGAAAUGCUUAGAUAUCACGAAGAACUCCGAUUGCGAAGGCAGCUUACUAAACUGCCACUGACAUUGAUGCUCGAAAGUCUGGGUAUCAAACAGGAUUAGAUACCCCAGUAGUC